AUUGAACGCUGGCGGCAUGCCUUACACAUGCAAGUCGAACGGCAGCACGGGAGCAAUCCUGGUGGCGAGUGGCGAACGGGUGAGUAAUAUAUCGGAACGUGCCCAGUCGUGGGGAUAACGUAGCGAAAGCUACGCUAAUACCGCAUACGAUCUAUGGAUGAAAGCGGGGGAUCGCAAGACCUCGCGCGAUUGGAGCGGCCGAUAUCAGAUUAGGUAGUUGGUGAGGUAAAGGCUCACCAAGCCGACGAUCUGUAGCUGGUCUGAGAGGACGACCAGCCACACUGGGACUGAGACACGGCCCAGACUCCUACGGGAGGCAGCAGUGGGGAAUUUUGGACAAUGGGCGCAAGCCUGAUCCAGCAAUGCCGCGUGCAGGAUGAAGGCCUUCGGUUGUAACUGCUUUGUUACGGAACGAACGGUAGAGCUCUAAUACAGUUGCUAAUGACGGUACCGUAAGAAUAAGCA
Molecule: ribosomal RNA, 465 nt
Filed under: uncultured bacterium
Lineage: Bacteria
Description: bacterial SSU rRNA
Rfam family: Bacterial small subunit ribosomal RNA
Source: RNAcentral